GACGAACCGUGCGAACGUUGUUCGGAUUCACUGGGCUUAAAGGGCGCGUAGGCGGGCUCGCCAGUCAGGGGUGAAAUCCUCCGGCUCAACCGGAGAAUAGCCUUUGAUACUGGGAGACUUGAGUCCGGGAGAGGUGAGUGGAACUGCGAGUGUAGAGGUGAAAUUCGUAGAUAUUCGCAAGAACACCAGUGGCGAAGGCGGCUCACUGGCCCGAUACUGACGCUGAGGCACGAAAGCGUGGGGAGCAAACAGG
RNAcentral lists this ribosomal RNA (253 nucleotides) under uncultured bacterium. Its description in RNAcentral is "partial 16S ribosomal RNA". It matches the Rfam family "Bacterial small subunit ribosomal RNA", at positions 524 to 776 of the family's 1533-position model. The record is from RNAcentral.